Molecule: ribosomal RNA, 736 nt
Filed under: Klebsiella oxytoca
Lineage: Bacteria; Pseudomonadati; Pseudomonadota; Gammaproteobacteria; Enterobacterales; Enterobacteriaceae
Description: bacterial SSU rRNA
Rfam family: Bacterial small subunit ribosomal RNA
Source: RNAcentral
UGCAGUCGAACGGUACACAGAGAGCUUGCUCUCGGGUGACGAGUGGCGGACGGGUGAGUAAUGUCUGGGAAACUGCCUGAUGGAGGGGGAUAACUACUGGAAACGGUAGCUAAUACCGCAUAACGUCGCAAGACCAAAGAGGGGGACCUUCGGGCCUCUUGCCAUCAGAUGUGCCCAGAUGGGAUUAUCUAUUAGGUGGGGUAACGGCUCACCUAGGCGACGAUCCCUAUCUGGUCUGAGAGGAUGACCAGCCACACUGGAACUGAGACACGGUCCAGACUCCUACGGGAGGCAGCAGUGGGGAAUAUUGCACAAUGGGCGCAAGCCUGAUGCAGCCAUGCCGCGUGUAUGAAAAAGGCCUUCGGGUUGUAAAGUACUUUCAGCGGGGAGGAAGGCGAUAAGGUUAAUAACCUUGUCGAUUGACGUUACCCGCAGAAAAAACACCGGCUAACUCCGUGCCAGCAGCCGCGGUAAUACGGAGGGUGCAAGCGUUAAUCGGAAUUACUGGGCGUAAAGCGCACGCAGGCGGUCUGUCAAGUCGGAUGUGAAAUCCCCGGGCUCAACCUGGGAACUGCAUUCGAAACUGGCAGGCUGGAGUCUUGUAUAGGGGGGUAGAAUUCCAGGUGUAGCGGUGAGAUGCGUAGAGAUCUGGAGGAAUACCGGUGGCGAAGGCGGCCCCCUGGGCAAAGACUGACGACUCUCGUGCGAAAGCGUGGGGAGCAAACAGGAUUAUAUA